AGUCAGAGCAUUUGAUUAGUUCAAAUAAUCUGAUUUGCGAUAAUUGUCUAUCAACAAUUAGUAAGGUAAGAAAAUUGCGUGGUUAGCAGAAUAGUUUGAAUGGCUAGCCAAAGAACGUGAAAGCCGUGUACGUGAAAACGACGCUGACCUUAUAUGUGUUUUAUCGAGUAGGACGGGGCACGAGAAACCCUGUUUGAAUCUGGCUGGACCACCAGCCAAGGCUAAAUAUAAUAUACGAUCGAUAGUGAACAAGUACAGUGAUGGAAAGGUGAAAAGAACCCCGGGAGGGGAGUGAAAUAGAUCCUGAAAUUUAGUGCCUACAAGGAGUCGGAGCCGGCUUGUCCGGUGACGGCGUGCUUUUUGUAGAACGAUCCAGCGAGUUAAUUUCGUGCGCAAGGUUAAGCCAGUUGGCGGAGCCACAGUGAAAGCGAGCCUGAAUAGGGCGAUUAAGUGUACGGGAUUAGACCCGAAACCGGGUGACCUAACCAUGAGCAGGUUGAAGCCACUGUAACAGGUGGUGGAGGACCGAACCAGGAUACGCAGCAAAGUGUUUGGAUGACUUGUGGUUAGCGGUGAAAUGCCAAUCGAACUCGGAGAUAGCUGGUUCUCCUCGAAACAGUUUUAGGACUGGCGUCAUGUGGUAGCAGUCGGGGGUAGAGCUCUGUAAAGGACUGGGGGGAGCAAUCCUACCCACCCUUAACAAACUACGAAUACCGGCUGUGGAAUCAUGGCAGUUAGAACGGCGGAGCUAAGUUCGUCGCUCAAAAGGGAAACAGCCCAGACCAUCGUCUAAGGUCCCUAAAUUUACGUUAAGUGGGAAACAAGGUGAGAUUUCUUAAACAGCUAGGAUGUUGGCUUAGAAGCAGCCAUUCAUUUAAAGAGUGCGUAACAGCUCACUAGUCAAGAGAUUCUGCGUGGAAGAUAUAACGGGGCUAAGCGUAAUACCGAAGAUAUGGAUUGCAAUUUAUUGCAGUGGUAGCGGAGCGUUCCUAUCGGCAGUGAAGCCGGACUGUUAAGUACCGGUGGAGCGUUAGGAAGUGAGAAUGCUGGAACGAGUAACCAUAAGACAGGUGAGAAUCCUGUCGGCCGAAAGAGCGAGGUUUCCUGGGCUAUGGUAAUCAUCCCAGGGUUAGUCGGGCCUAAGCCGAGGCGUUUAGCGUAGGCGAUGGACAUCAGGUUAAUAUUCCUGAACUAGUCAAACUUUGUAUGCAGUUAGCGAUGAGAUAGGUGGAGCGGAUUCAUGGUUUAUCCGUUCAAGUGAUAGAGGAAUCUUGAUCGAGUAAAAGUGAACCUACGGGUUUACGAUUCCGCUGAAGGCAUUGACCAGAAAAGCUGGCAUACGCAUGGGUUUGGCUACCCGUACCGCAAACCGACACAGGUGCUCGAGUCGAGGAGACUAAGGCUUACGAGAGAAUGAUUGCUAAGGAACUCGGCAAUACAGCGACCGUAACUUCGGAAUAAGGUCUGCCUACAUUUGUAGGCCGCAGCUAAAGAGCCCACGGAACUGUUUAUCAAAAACUCAGGUCUCUGCUAACACGAAAGUGGAUGUAUAGGGGCUGAAACCUGCCCGGUGCCGGAAGGUUAAGGGGAUUGCUUCACGGUGAGAACUGAAGCCCCGGUGAACGGCGGCGGUAACUAUAACCGUCCUAAGGUAGCGAAAUUCCUUGUCAGGUAAGUUCUGACCCGCACGAAUGGAGUAAUCAUGUGGGCACUGUCUCAGCGAAGGACUCGGUGAAAGUGCAUUGGCGGUAAAGAUGCCGUCUGUCCAUACCAGGACGAGAAGACCCCAUGGAGCUUUACUACAGCUUUACAUUGAUCCAGGUUUCAGCAUGUGUAGCAUAGUUGGGAGACUUUGAAACAGAUACGCUAGUAUUUGCGGAGUCGCAAUGUGAAAUACCAACCUUGCUGUGAUCUUGAUCUCACUUGUGCCGUUAUCCGGUACAAGGACCGUGUAUGGUGGGUAGUUUAACUGGGGCGGUUGCCUCCUAAAGAGUAGCGGAGGCGUUCAAAGGUUGGCUAACUUCGGAUGGAAAUCGAAGUGAUAGUGUAUGCGCAUAAGCCAGCUUGACUGUGAGGAGUACAUUCCAAUCAGAGACGAAAGUCGGAGCAAGUGACCCGCUGUACGAACAUUUGUUCAUUGAAUGUGGGAUCGACAGCGCACACGGAUAAAAGUUACCCUGGGGAUAACAGGCUUAUAGCGCCCAAUAGUUCACAUAGACGGCGCUGUUUGGCACCUCGAUGUCGGCUCAUCACAUCCUGGAGGGGGAGCACCUUCCAAGGGUUCGGCUGUUCGCCGAUUAAAGUGGUACGCGAGCUGGGUUCAGAACGUCGUGAGACAGUUCGGUCCCUAUCCAUCGCGGGCGCAA
RNAcentral lists this ribosomal RNA (2366 nucleotides) under human oral metagenome. RNAcentral describes it as "bacterial LSU rRNA". It matches the Rfam family "Bacterial large subunit ribosomal RNA", at positions 264 to 2656 of the family's 2925-position model. The record is from RNAcentral.